RNAcentral lists this ribosomal RNA (253 nucleotides) under uncultured bacterium. RNAcentral's name for it is "partial 16S ribosomal RNA". It matches the Rfam family "Bacterial small subunit ribosomal RNA", at positions 524 to 776 of the family's 1533-position model. The record is from RNAcentral.
UACGUAGGUGGCAAGCGUUAUCCGGAUUUACUGGGUGUAAAGGGCGUGUAGGCGGGAAAGCAAGUCAGAUGUGAAAACCACGGGCUCAACCUGUGGCCUGCAUUUGAAACUGUUUUUCUUGAGUACUGGAGAGGCAGACGGAAUUCCUCGUGUAGCGGUGAAAUGCGUAGAUAUGAGGAGGAACACCAGUGGCGAAGGCGGUCUGCUGGACAGCAACUGACGCUGAGGCACGAAAGCGUGGGGAGCAAACAGG